AAUCAACGCUGGCGGCGUGCCUAACACAUGCAAGUCGCACGAGAAAGUGGAGCAAUCCAUGAGUACAGUGGCGCACGGGUGAGUAACACGUGAAUCAUCUACCUCCGAGUGGGGAAGUAACCUAGAGAAAUACUGGGCGUAAUACCGCAUAACACUUACGAGUCAAAGACAGCAAUGCGCUUGGAGAGGAGUUCGCGGCCGAUUAGCUAGUU
Molecule: ribosomal RNA, 212 nt
Filed under: uncultured bacterium
Lineage: Bacteria
Description: partial 16S ribosomal RNA
Rfam family: Bacterial small subunit ribosomal RNA
Source: RNAcentral